CUUCGUGUACUUGCUAGCGUUAGACAGAAAAACAGAAGUAGGUAUAAGCAAUAGAAAAUAAUAUUGACAAUUAUUGUAAUUACAGGAAUUACUUACGAUUACAUCCAGAAUAGAUUUGGAAACUGGCUUGUUAGAGUUGACGGGUACACGUUUUCAAAAUGGAACAAGUCUUCAUAUUCUUGGAUGUUUCCUUAGAAUACAUACAAACUGGCAACGGGUCGUUACUUGUUCGGAUUAGCGGAUAUACAUUUGCGAAAUUGAAUAAAGUUUCAAAUACUUGGACUUGUUCACGAAGACUCAAUAAUUGUAAAGCCAAGUUGAAAAUUAAAGAUGGUUUACUGUGUGACUAUAACUUAGAGCAUAAUCACGACCCACCCAAUUUAGUGAAGUUGUCGAAUGGAACGUAUAUCAAAAUAUAAAUAUGCUUUAUUUGAUAUAAUAUGAUUUUAAUACACUUGUCUUGAUGUCUAUUACGGGUUUUAUUUUUUAUUGUAUAAUCAAGUAUUAAGUAGGUAACUUAAAUGUUUCUGGUUGUAACUAAAUCCUGAGGUAAGUACUUAAUUCAGACGCUCUAAAGCUGUAGCGUGCUGCAUACGUCUGCACUUAUAUUAGCUAUUAUAAUAUUAUAUGUAUUUAUAUUAUAUAAACAAUAAAGUGUUAAGUUGAUUGCAAUCAAACCUAGCCCAAUUGGAUUUAAUCAUCCGAGUGCUCUUUAAUUUAAACAAAAAUUUAGUUAAUAAGGAAACGCUUGAGAAUCGCUCAGGUGAAUUACUUUAGUAUGCGUGAGACAGCUACGUCUUACACUCGCGAUUUAUUAGACACUUUGUUUUAGUAUGCGUGCGUUGAUGAAAAUAGAGCUUAACUUUGGUUCGCCGCUAUUUUUUCGAGGUGUUCACAGACGUAUAAAUUAUAUUAGUAUUGUUUAUACAAUACGCGCACGAAUAAUGGCAGUGAUGUUCAUUGCAAGAUGCUAUUAUGUUUGAUUUUUAACCCCAUUUCAUUAUUGAGACCACACAAAAUAUGCAUCUGAAUUGGCGGAAUAUUAUCUAAAUGUCUUACAUAAUAAACACAUACCAAAUAUGAAUUGAAAAUAUAAAAAUAGUACUAAUUUUAAUUUUAGUUGUAUAUUAUUUCAUUGUUUAAUAUUUGUGUCGACUAUGUUUGACGGCUUUUGUCAGCCUAGCGAAACUCUAAGAACGCGUCGAUUCACUCGAUUGUAUAAAACGCGCAGUUUUUGAUAGAUUGACAGAUGACGGCUAUAAUCUUGUAAAAAAGGAGAGACCCGAAAUCUAUUACGUUUUAUGCAACUGUUCGCUUUCGAACUUAGUCGAAUUAUAGUUCUUUAUUUUUUGCAACCAAGUAAUAUUCAUGUGUCAAACAUAUUUAAUAUAUUUUUUCUACUCCUCUGCUUUUAUCUGUCAUUUAUACAGCCACGAUUAGUAAUAUAACCAAAGAAUAUGUAAUAGUACAAGUACAGAAGACUAGAAAUCAAUUAAAGAAAUAGGAACUCUUGCGGCCAUAGGUGUAAUUCAGAUCACACAGCGCUACUAACCAACAUUUUUAUUCACCUAGAAGUUGCAUCUCUUUCUAUCGCGUGACCUUUACCUCUUCUGACGACGUUAGGGUUGUCUUCUUUACCUAAAUCAGUACGUACCUACCAGUAAAUAAAUAUAAAUUGUGACAGUAAAGUGUAAAUAAUUUAACUUGUUAAGUUAAAUCAAGAUAGGAAUUGUGAAUUUAAUUAGUUACCUAAUAAAGUAUAAUUUUACUGCA
Molecule: long non-coding RNA, 1773 nt
Organism: Leptidea sinapis
Lineage: Eukaryota; Metazoa; Arthropoda; Insecta; Lepidoptera; Pieridae
Exons: 2
Source: RefSeq, a predicted model, not a curated record